GACGAACGCUGGCGGCGUGCUUAACACAUGCAAGUCGAACGGUAAGGCCCUUCGGGGUACACGAGUGGCGAACGGGUGAGUAACACGUGGGUAAUCUGCCCUGCACCUCGGGAUAAGGCUGGGAAACUGGGUCUAAUACCGGAUAUUCAGUUCCUGCCGCAUGGUGGGGGGUGGAAAGUUUUUCGGUGCAGGAUGAGCCCGCGGCCUAUCAGCUUGUUGGUGGGGUAAUGGCCUACCAAGGCGACGACGGGUAGCCGGCCUGAGAGGGUGAUCGGCCACACUGGGACUGAGACACGGCCCAGACUCCUACGGGAGGCAGCAGUGGGGAAUAUUGCACAAUGGGCGAAAGCCUGAUGCAGCGACGCCGCGUGAGGGAUGACGGUCUUCGGAUUGUAAACCCCUUUCAGUAGGGACGAAGCGCAAGUGACGGUACCUGCAGAAGAAGCACCGGCCAACUACGUG
RNAcentral lists this ribosomal RNA (462 nucleotides) under uncultured bacterium. RNAcentral describes it as "partial 16S ribosomal RNA". It matches the Rfam family "Bacterial small subunit ribosomal RNA", at positions 28 to 507 of the family's 1533-position model. The record is from RNAcentral.